UUAUGGCUAUUAGAUGGGUAUGCGUCCUAUUAGUUAGUUGGUAAGGUAACGGCUUACCAAGGCAUCGAUAGGUAGGGGUCCUGAGAGGGAGAUCCCCCACACUGGUACUGAGACACGGACCAGACUCCUACGGGAGGCAGCAGUGAGGAAUAUUGGACAAUGGGCGAGAGCCUGAUCCAGCCAUGCCGCGUGCAGGAAGACUGCCCUAUGGGUUGUAAACUGCUUUUACAGAGGAAGAACCACUCCCACGUGUGGGAGUUUGACGGUACUCUGCGAAUAAGGAUCGGCUAACUCCGUGCCAGCAGCCGCGGUAAUACGGAGGAUCCAAGCGUUAUCCGGAAUCAUUGGGUUUAAAGGGUCCGUAGGCGGGCAGUUAAGUCAGUGGUGAAAGUCUUCCGCUCAACGGGAGAACUGCCAUUGAAACUGAUUGUCUUGAGUUAUUAUGAAGUGGUUAGAAUGAGUAGUGUAGCGGUGAAAUGCAUAGAUAUUACUCAGAAUACCGAUUGCGAAGGCAGAUCACUAAUAAUAUACUGACGCUGAUGGACGAAAGCGUAGGUAGCGAACAGGAUUAGAUACCCUGGUAGUCUACGCCGUAAACGAUGGUUACUAGCUGUUCGGAUCGAUUAAGAUCUGAGUGGUUAAGCGAAAGUGAUAAGUAACCCACCUGGGGAGUACGUUCGCAAGAAUGAAACUCAAAGGAAUUGACGGGGGCCCGCACAAGCGGUGGAGCAUGUGGUUUAAUUCGAUGAUACGCGAGGAACCUUACCAGGGCUUAAAUGUAGUCUGACAGGGCUGGAAACAGCUUUUUCUUCGGACAGAUUACAAGGUGCUGCAUGGUUGUCGUCAGCUCGUGCCGUGAGGUGUCAGGUUAAGUCCUA
RNAcentral lists this ribosomal RNA (878 nucleotides) under uncultured bacterium. Its description in RNAcentral is "bacterial SSU rRNA". It matches the Rfam family "Bacterial small subunit ribosomal RNA", at positions 212 to 1089 of the family's 1533-position model. The record is from RNAcentral.